This 69-nucleotide antisense RNA is filed under the name Amycolatopsis saalfeldensis. RNAcentral describes it as "ASpks TB sRNA". It matches the Rfam family "ASpks TB sRNA". The record is from Rfam by way of RNAcentral. Lineage: Bacteria; Bacillati; Actinomycetota; Actinomycetes; Pseudonocardiales; Pseudonocardiaceae.
CUUGAGCGAGCCCAGCCUCAGCGGCCGCUCACGAUCCUGGCCGUAGGUGGCCAGCAGCGCCUGCGCCUC